CGCGAAAACUUUACAACGCUGGCGACAGCGAUAAGGGGACCUCGAGUGCCAGGAUACAAUCUUGGCUGUCGCGAUGCCUAAAAAGCAUUGCAUAGCAAGGGCCGGGCAAGACCGGUGCCAGCCGCCGCGGUAACACCGGCGGCUCGAGUGGUAACCGCUAUUAUUGGGUCUAAAGGGUCUGUAGCCGGCCGGAUAAGUCUUUUGGGAAAUCCAGCUGCUCAACAGUUGGGCUUUCAGAAGAUACUGUUCGGCUCGAGACCGGGAGAGGUGAGAGGUACUUCAGGGGUAGGGGUGAAAUCUUGUAAUCCUUGAAGGACCACCAGUGGCGAAGGCGUCUCACCAGAACGGAUCUGACGGCAAGGGACGAAAGCUAGGGGCACGAACCGGAUUAGAUACCCGGGUAGUCCUAGCCGUAAACGAUACUCGCUAGGUGUCAGCCACGGUGCGACCGUGGUUGGUGCCGUAGGGAAGCCGUGAAGCGAGCCACCUGGGAAGUACGGCCGCAAGGCUGAAACUUAAAGGAAUUGGCGGGGGAGCAC
Molecule: ribosomal RNA, 539 nt
Filed under: uncultured archaeon
Lineage: Archaea
Description: bacterial SSU rRNA
Rfam family: Archaeal small subunit ribosomal RNA
Source: RNAcentral